AGAUAUCGGGGAUCAUUUUUACAGGCCUUUGGUGUAACCGCGGGCAGUCCCCUCUGCUCGCUUGUUUUCAGCUGUCGCCCACCCCACCUCUAGAUCUGUGCACCUGGCCUGCCAACUUGUACGUGGAAGAAGGCAGAGGUUGUGGGGACAUGUAAAUUUGCUUUUUUGGAGAAUAACAGACUCCUAGUUUGGGCUACAGCUGGGACGGCCAGAGUCCCAAAAUGUAGCCCACAAUGUCUGAAACUGCAGUCUCUCCCCAGGCAGCAUGCCCACGUGACCCCUUUUGGCCGGGGGACCUUAGUGAGAGUCAGCUUGUGAUGGCUUCUGGGAGAGCGUCUGCCGUCACGGCAAAGGAGCCAACAUGGAUGGUGCCGCCUUCCCACCUCCUUCCUGCCUUGAACGCACAUUCCACCCAGCUCUGGCACCAUCUUGCAACCAUGAAAGAAAGGCAAGAAAUACACAGAGAUGUCAGCCCUGACAUUGCUGAGAUGGGAAAUUAUCAUUAGUGUCCGCCUCUGUCCUGUUACAUGU
Bos taurus (domestic cattle) is the source of this 531-nucleotide long non-coding RNA. The record is from Ensembl. Lineage: Eukaryota; Metazoa; Chordata; Mammalia; Artiodactyla; Bovidae.